RNAcentral lists this long non-coding RNA (315 nucleotides) under Nicotiana benthamiana. RNAcentral's name for it is "long non-coding RNA (NBEN_LNC038451)". Lineage: Eukaryota; Viridiplantae; Streptophyta; Magnoliopsida; Solanales; Solanaceae. The record is from RNAcentral.
GCUACAGAAAUACAGUUGGUUAACCAGAGUCAUUCUAAUACGAAGCCAUAAAAUCUUGUCUAAGACAUUUUUGGUAAUGAUUUUUUGGUAGAGUUUUCUACUUUUCGGGGGUACCCUUUGCCUUUGCUGUAAUCAUGAUAAGUUUAAACAUUCAUUGUUUUGUUGUAAGGUAUCCAAAUGUGACGUCAAAUUGGUCUGUAAUCAUGAUUAGUUUAAACAUUCAUUGUUUUGUUGUAAGGUAUCCAAAUGUGACGUCAAACUGGUCUUGUUUCUUAGUUUUAUAUCCCGGUUGAAAGGGGGAAAAUUCAUUAAUUU